Molecule: long non-coding RNA, 97 nt
Organism: Populus euphratica (Euphrates poplar)
Lineage: Eukaryota; Viridiplantae; Streptophyta; Magnoliopsida; Malpighiales; Salicaceae
Exons: 3
Source: RefSeq, a predicted model, not a curated record
AACAAUUAAAAUAACCUUGGUGCCUCUCAUAAAAAGUUGUCACCUUGCCCCAGAUAAAUUUUCAAUCUUCCUCUCAAUUAAUUCUCAAUCUUCAUUU